UUAGUUUGGCUUGGUUUGGUUUGGAAAGGUUCAGUUCAGUUUGAAACAGAAACGUAAAAGCAAUUAAAAGAAGUCUGAAAUAGACAGGAAAAAGUAGAAAAGAAUUAAAA
Long non-coding RNA from Sinocyclocheilus anshuiensis, 110 nucleotides. RefSeq lists it as uncharacterized. The transcript is spliced from 3 exons. The record is from RefSeq and is a predicted model, not a curated record. NCBI's taxonomy places the organism in Eukaryota, Metazoa, Chordata, Actinopteri, Cypriniformes, Cyprinidae.